UUCAGUAACUCCGCAGCAUAUGCGGCUAGGAGUUUUUACUGUGUGGACAGUAGCAGUGAAUGCCAUUGCGGUUUAGGCUGAUACACGGGCGGGCAGAUACGCCGGAGAAGUGACUAAACGACUAAAGUAAGACACUAAUGGGCUCGUUUGGGAGAUGACUUACCAGGAGUUAAAAAGAAGCGACAGCAUGAAGGAUGUACAACCAAACUUCCACUCAUCAGAAGACAGAAUGGAUCAGAUGUCAGACAGACACAAGGACAGAUGUGAAGAUAUUCCCCCAGAAGUUGCUUCCAACAGAGGGAGGAGGAAGCUCAACACAGCAGACAUGAGACCUGCACCAACAUGUAGAUCUGCUAAACAUCAUGGACAUGGACAUUAAUGUGGUUUUGCACCUUUUAUACCCCCCAUUGAUACUACUGGAAAAGGCAGGAGUGAUGGGUUUAUCACGUAUAUUUCUCCUAUAAGGUUCAUGAUCAUCUGUUGCAGGAGCGCAGCCAUACACUCCAGUAAAUAGUUUGUAUAGCAUUGUGUAUGUUUGGCAGCAGUCAAUGUGAGCUAUGUGUAGACUGUACUUCACACCUUGGCCAGCAGAGGGAGGCAGUGGCGCGUCAGUGGAGUAUCCAUGCAGGUGACGGGUUGACCUCAUACACUGGAGAGCAAACUAAAGAAAGACUCUUCUGACCCUAGACACCUCCUCUAGCCUCUGUCCACCAGCACGUAUGUGACAUAAUACCGUCACCAAAUGGAGGCAGUGGAGCUUCCAUGGAGAAGAGGACGUAGAAGGCUAUAAUGCACGUGUUUGCAUGGCUAAUGCACUGAAUGGUAAACUGUGACCAAUCAAGAGGGACUCCUCUCUCCCUGACACCUCCUGCAAAUGACUGUAAAUAACUCCUCCAGCUUCCAUCCUCCAGCAGAUCACAGAACACUCCACCACACCACCACUUAAAGAAAGAAACUGCUUCCUUACCAAGGUCAAGACUCCAAAUAACUGCUGUGAUAAUGUGCAAAUGUCAUAUAAGUGUCUGUAAUACUGUUGGAUUUGUUACUCCACAUUGCACUUUUAUUGCUUUAUAUAUCGUGCCAAUACACUUCUUAAGAAAUGUUGUUGCUGUCUUGAUAUAGUUUUUCUCUACAGUAUAUCUUGUACAUUUUAUUUAGGCCUACAGUGUCAUUAUUUCCCCUUAAUUAAUAAUAAUAAUAAUAAUAAUAAUAAUUGUAUUUGUAUAGCACUGUGUCAUACAAGGCAUGUAACUCAAAGUGCUUAACAAAUGGAAAAAAAAAACAUUGUUAGAGAUAGAUUUAAAAGGAGAGGUAUAGAGGAGAGGCAGAAAAAGCAGGAAGGUAGAGGAAGAAGAGAUAGACAGAGAAUGUAGAGUCAUAAGGUCAACGUAGGAUAGGACCAGGAUUCUUAGAUGUGUAAGGUCCAUAGUGGCUGGGCCUAUCAUAAAUCAUAAAUAGUCAGUCACACAGAGAUUGGGCGCUCAGAAUUCUCACUUGCAAGUCCUUUUGUGUUUAAUUAUUCUAAAACAAAGUGAUCCAGACUAUUGUGUUUAUAAGCUAUAAAAUCUAUUUUCGGACAAAUAAUGUGUCUACAACAUCAUGUAUGAAUG
Long non-coding RNA from Engraulis encrasicolus (European anchovy), 1610 nucleotides. RefSeq lists it as uncharacterized. The record is from RefSeq and is a predicted model, not a curated record. The transcript is spliced from 3 exons. Lineage: Eukaryota; Metazoa; Chordata; Actinopteri; Clupeiformes; Engraulidae.